RNAcentral lists this ribosomal RNA (297 nucleotides) under Triticum aestivum (bread wheat). Its description in RNAcentral is "partial small subunit ribosomal RNA". The record is from RNAcentral. Lineage: Eukaryota; Viridiplantae; Streptophyta; Magnoliopsida; Poales; Poaceae.
AUGAUUGCUGUUCAUGAAUUGCCAUUCUCGUUUGUGGAAUACGAGGGAUUUAGAAGAUUUGUGUACAGUCUGAAUCCCACAUUUGAGGUGGUGUCUAGGACGACAAUAAGAGUUGAUUGCCUCAUGCUAUUUCAUGAACAAAGGGAAAAGUUUCGAGAGGCUAUACAGAACUUAACCUCUCGUGUCCCUUUAACCGCCGACAUGUGGACUUCAAGUCAAGCCGUGAGCUAUAUGUGUAUAACAUGCCAUUUUGUUAGUACGACGAAGUGGAAAUUGCAGAAAAAAGUGAUUUGGUUU